Molecule: ribosomal RNA, 315 nt
Filed under: uncultured eukaryote
Lineage: Eukaryota
Description: partial 18S ribosomal RNA
Rfam family: Eukaryotic small subunit ribosomal RNA
Source: RNAcentral
CCCUUAGAUGUUCUGGGCUGCACGCGCGCUACACUGACGCACGCAACAGGUGCCUGCUCCGAGAGGACUGGGUAAUCAUUUGAGUGUGCGUCGUGAUGGGGAUAGAAUAUUGUAAUUAUUACUCUUCAACGAGGAAUUCCUAGUAAGCGCCAGUCAGCAGCUUGCGCUGAUUACGUCCCUGCCCUUUGUACACACCGCCCGUCGCUCCUACCGAUGGGUGAUCCGGUGAAUGAUUCGGACUUCAGCGGCUCCCCUGGGGUGCGCCGGAGAAAGUUUUGUGAACCUUAUCACUUGGAGGAAGGGGAAGUCGUAACA